UUGGGGCCUACAACUUCGCCGAGCCGACUAGCAUCCCUUUCCACUGCCCAUUUUUCCAACAAAGAAGACGAUUAUAGGGUCGAAUUCGCUUUCCGUGGUGAACUGGUCGUCCCAUACCUUCUUCGUGUCUCAUGUGUGUGGAACCAGGUCUUUUUUGGUUCAUUGCCUUAUGUUAUGGUCGCCCCUCGACCGACGGCCUUUACGCAACUACGACUACUGUGAUGUGAGCGGUUCAAUUGGUUUGAUCUUUCCGGCCUCCACUUGUACGGAGAUGCAUGCAUAAAGGACCCGCCCCUUUUUUUAUCUUAAUCUUUAGGACAGGACCCUACCCUAUUCUCGAACCCUCU
RNAcentral lists this long non-coding RNA (347 nucleotides) under Phoenix dactylifera (date palm). Its description in RNAcentral is "long non-coding RNA (PDAC_LNC001479)". The record is from RNAcentral. Lineage: Eukaryota; Viridiplantae; Streptophyta; Magnoliopsida; Arecales; Arecaceae.